CUUUUUCCUUGAAUGCUCUCCUCAGUGCGUUGGAUGCCUCUUCGUCCAAGCAAUGCAAUGCGUAGCAGUGGACGUAGUGCCUCAUUUUCGGCUUGUUUAUGUAGCUUGCUCCUGCCUUCUUCGCAUAUCUGAACACCUGAUAUAUCUUAUUUGUCCUGCAAUCAGGUAUAUUUAUUAUACUGGGCCUUACAAUAGAAGGCCAUGAUGGCUGUCCCAGGACAGGAUAGGACAGGACAAGACCGGCCAGAGCAGAACCAGCCAAGCUCUUGGAACACUGUUAAAGAGCAUGAUAGCAGGAGCCAGCCGGUCCAAGCUUUAGGGUCUCUUGUUUGGAGGAGAAAAAAACAAAAGGUUUCAGGGGUGGAGUGGAAGCACACAUCCGACGGCCUGGAGCACCAGCCACCAGGGCAUGGACCUUGAGAUGCGCUACCACCUCUGCAACACGAAGGAGCCAAGUGUCAAUCGGUUUGGUUCUAGUUUUUCCUUUUAGGUUUCAAUUCAGGAUACAAUAUGUAUAAAAAGGAAAUGGAAACUGAAUUGAAAUGGAAUAAUUUUUAUGACGUCAAA
Molecule: long non-coding RNA, 567 nt
Organism: Macadamia integrifolia
Lineage: Eukaryota; Viridiplantae; Streptophyta; Magnoliopsida; Proteales; Proteaceae
Exons: 2
Source: RefSeq, a predicted model, not a curated record